Pseudophryne corroboree (corroboree frog) is the source of this 2433-nucleotide long non-coding RNA. RefSeq lists it as uncharacterized. NCBI's taxonomy places the organism in Eukaryota, Metazoa, Chordata, Amphibia, Anura, Myobatrachidae. The transcript has 2 exons. The record is from RefSeq and is a predicted model, not a curated record.
ACAAAGUGCGUCACGGCUCCCCCUGCGCAAUACUUUUUAUCAUACCGUCCAUAGGGGGACCCGGAGUCCUGGCCAGCUCAUCUGCAGUAGCUGGACCGGUGUAGACAGAAUCCGUAUACCUCAAUAACCUCCGUGGUCGUAGUUUAUGGGUGUCACCGUGGGGAAAGUUCAAGGCAGUGCUGUCUCCGUGUGGCCCGCCGGUCCUAUUCAGGUGCAAGACUCCGCCAUCAUAUUUUCAUAUUCUUUAUAAAGGAUACUUCCUCCUGGUUCUAUCAUAAGAACACUGAUUGGACUGUAGGAGUAAGGGACACAAGAAGGACGUGGGACAUUCCAGUCCACCACCAGAUUAAUGAAGUUCUGAAUAAUGGCAUGAUUGGGAGAGUUAUACCCUGAAUGAAGCAGUCUGGGGCAGUCUCCCUUACAGUAUCCAGGAUUGUACCUAUGUGGAGCAAUGAUCCAGUGAUCCCAUCCAAGCUGAUGAAAGCUAACCCAGAAAGGAUGUAGAGCGCAAUGAUUCUUAGACUGUCCACUCUGGUUGGGAAUCUUUGGAAGCUUAAUGCCAAUAGUCCCUGAUUGACGUGGCUUCCUUACCAGUAUGCCUGACAUACCAGCCUCUGGAACUUCAGUUACCGUCUUCUCUUUGGCACGGUUAUGAAAAGUGUGGUUGAAAUAAAUAAGCAAGAAAGGGAUGUGAGAGGCUGAAACGGCCAAUGGAACUCUGAUUGGUUUCCCAAUAUGCUUACAUAUCAGUUGAAGGUUUAAUGUUAGAUUUGAAUUUUCCACUAGAGGCUUGAUGUGAGGUGUGAUAUCUGUCUCAGCCCACGUCUGAAUUCCUGGGGGUACUCUUGUCUUCAAGUAGGCACCAGCACUUGGCAGAAGUUCCACACUGCAGAAGUAGUAAUUAUUAUCCCCAAAACGCAGUGCCCAGGGAUGCAUCACAGUUGCUCUCAUCAGCUCUUUUACAUUAUGAAGGUUGAACUCAAGGUUUUGCAUCUGUGACUGCUCCUCUGGAAGAAAAGAAAAUAACAAAUUGGUUUCACCUCAGGGAUAGCCCAAAAUACAGUAUAAGUACUUGCAAAUGUCCAGUCUCAACUGUGUUUUUGCCACAUGGACCUUAUAUCUUUAUAUAUACUUGAAGUUCACCUUUAGUAUGGAAACCUCAGGAAAUUUACAUCAACCAUGGGUAUAUCUCUAAUGCGUGCAGAAUGUGUCAUUGGUAUGAAACUCGGAGGCUUAGGGGGCCCACUUCUUGGGCUUGACUCAAGUGUACAAAGGUCAUAAAGUUGUCUAAUAGGUUCCCGGGAUUGCCUGCUAAACACUGUGAGACAUACAGUGAACAGGGGACACUGCGGCGUGUGUACUGUCCUCAGUACAAUGCUGCACAUUGUUAAUUUGGGGAGCUGCAAUGUGGCAUAAUAUGAACUGGGGCUCAACUAUGGGGCAUGUACUACUGAAGGGCACCACUAUGGUUCACAAAAUUAACUAGAGCGCAGGUUCUCAAACUCUGUCUUCAGGACCUCACACGGUUUAUGUUUUGCAGGUCACCUGUACAUUUUUAAAAUGUGACAGUUGGUGAUACACAGUGCAGCUGCUGGUUGACAUGGACAAUGUGAACCGUGUGACAUCCUGCAGACCAAGUUUGAGAACCACCGAACUAGAGAACUACUUUGGGCCAAUAAAUUAACUAGAGCACAGUGAUGAAAGUAUGUCAGUAUGGCGCGGUAUGGUGCACCAUUAAGACAUUAGUAGCAGGUUCCUUCGUACCCCCUACCACCAUUCUACCUAGGGUCACCGUUUGACCCGUUUUCAAGUCUGACACACAGUAGCACUAAGAUUUUCUCUACUUGCUCCACUGCUAGGGCACUACUAUGGUGCAUAAAAUUGACAACUGGGGUGGAGAUGGGUGUCUCUCUAGAAGAGGCCCCUUCAAAAUGUUGCUAUGGGGCCAACAAGGUUCGUCGACCAUCACAUUAACAUUAUACAUUUAUUGUCAUUACAUAUCACAGAGAUAAGCAAUGUCCUUCAGAUAUAUUUAUUAAUUGCAGAGACAGUGGCUUAGAAAAGAGUGAAUUGUAAAGUGAUAGCUUACACUAUUAAUUCACUUGAAAAAGGGGGUAGGCAAAGACCACACUAGCCUCACAUACUUUUAAAUAUAGGACUUCAGUUACCCAGUUACGGAUUGGAUAGUACCUGCCAUCACAGAUUAAUUAUAAAUUCAGGGGAGAAGAAAAAGUAACCAGUUAAUGGUAGUCACAGGUAAGUAUUUCAAACUAAAGAUACAUACACACUGUGAGAUAUUGACUAAGUGCCGAUUUUGACUGCGAGUUCCCUUGAACUCCCCGGAGCCCAAAACCACCAAUUUUGACUAUAUACAAUUUUGACUAUACUAGAAACUAGUAUGUACACAAUAUAUUAAAAAUUGCCUUGCCUUCA